AUGCGCAUCCUAAAUCAGCAGUUAAACCUCCCAUGGUUAUGCGCUGGCGAUUUUAAUGAGAUCAUGUAUAAUCAUGAGAAGAAAGGGGGGCCAGCUAGAGCACAAAGCCAAAUGGAGAAUUUUAGAGCAGCUCUAGCAGACUGUGGAUUGACAGAUUUGGGCUAUGUGGGGGACAAAUACACAUGGCGCAAUCAGAGUUGGGAUGUUAAACGCUUUGUUAAAGAAAGAUUGGAUAGAGCAGUGGGGACGAAGAGCUGGUGCACAAGAUUCCCUUACUUCAAAGUUUUAAAUGGGGACCCAUACCACUCAGAUCACAGACCAGUAACCAUCCAAAUAGAAGAAUCUGAGAGUUCACAUAUGCCCAGGAGAAGGAUUCGCAGCUUCAGGUUUGAAGCUAGAUGGUUACAAGAAGAGGAAUGUGAGUUUGUGGUUAAUAAUGCUUGGGCUAAAGCUAGCAUACAAGGGGAACAUAAUACCCAGGGGAUGUUACGCAUGGUAGCAAGAGAGUUAAAGGACUGGGAUGCUAAUGUUUUAGGCGAUCUCCAAAAGCGUAUUAAAACCCUUAAGAAAGAACUGGAGGAGGUACGCAGAGGGGACAUCAACCAAGAAGGAGUCAGCAGAGAGCACUUAUUAAUGGAGAAGCUAGACCGUUUGGAACAGCAGCAAGAUACGCAUUGGAAACAACGAGCCCAUAUUAAAUGGUUGCAAGAUGGUGACAAGAACACAUCCUUCUUUCAUGCUUUUGCAACCGAAAGAAAGAAAAGGAAUACCAUUAAGAAACUUAAAAGGGAGGGUGGUAGUUGGGUGGAGGGGCAGGAACAUUUGAAAGAGCAUAUUGCAAACUACUUUUCAAAUAUAUUCUCCUCCACGAUGACAGGAGAUAAUGGGGAAAUUAUGCGAGUGGUGCAGCCAAAGGUGACGCCAGAGAUGAAUGACAUGCUAUGUGCUGAAUAUACAGAAGAGGAGGUGAAAAGAGCCUUAGAUAGCAUCGGUGACUUAAAAGCUCCAGGACCUGAUGGUAUGCCAGCCAUUUUCUUUAAAAGGUUUUGGAAAACAGUGGGGAACCAGAUCACUAAAGAAGUACUGCAUAUAUUGAGAGGAGGAGAUAUGCCUGAAGGAUGGAAUGAUACCCUAAUAGUGCUUAUUCCGAAGAACACCAAGCCAAUGAGCUUAAAGGAUCUAAGACCUAUAAGUUUGUGCAAUGUGGUAUAUAAGGUGGUCUCUAAGGCAAUCACAAAUAGACUCAAGGAAAUUCUCCCCCACAUUGUCUCCCCUAAUCAGAGUGCCUUUGUACCCGGAAGACUAAUUUCAGAUAAUAUUCUAUUGGCAUAUGAACUAACACAUUUCCUACAAAGGAAAAGAAGGGGUCCCGUGGGCUAUGCGGCCAUCAAACUGGACAUGAGCAAAGCUUACGACCGCGUUGAAUGGAAAUUUUUAGAAGAUAUGAUGAAAAGAUUGGGUUUUGAUAGGAAUUGGAUCAGACUGAUAAUGAAGUGUGUCUCAACUGUCAAAUACCAAAUCAAGGUGAACCAAGAUACAACUGAUAUGAUUACACCCCAAAGAGGACUGCGCCAAGGAGAUCCACUUUCCCCUUAUUUGUUCGUCAUCUGUGCUGAGGGGUUCUCCUCUAUGUUAUAUGAAGCUGAGAUGAGGAGAUCACUAAAAGGAAUCAAGCUGCUUCAGGACAAGUGA
RNAcentral lists this ribosomal RNA (1692 nucleotides) under Triticum aestivum (bread wheat). RNAcentral describes it as "partial small subunit ribosomal RNA". The record is from RNAcentral. Lineage: Eukaryota; Viridiplantae; Streptophyta; Magnoliopsida; Poales; Poaceae.